UUUACCGUUUCUGCUGGUGACCAAGGCUAUUUCAUCAACCAUUCAUAAAAUUUCGUUUAUAAUGCAUAGUGGAUGAUGAAUACUAAUUGAAUAAUAAUUUGUAAAGUAGAAUUUUAUCCAAGUCAAAUAAUUAUUCAAUGCCAUUUUAGAUUCUGCUUAGGCAAGUUUGACUUCAUGUACAAACUAGUAUAACAGACGGUUGAUUUGCUAAUUUCUUUCAAUUUUAGCAAUAAAGAAGAAAUUGUUGAAAGCUGUAGCCCAGCGAUCCUGCUCAGAUCUGAAGCAAUGGAUACCAAGCAUUGUGAAGCAUUUAUAUUGGAGUGCAACAUCGAAUGACACAGGGAAUGGGGACAUGAUGUUGUCCAAGUGGUUGCCGGUCAGUCCUCAUAUACUCAACAUCCACACAGGACAUGGCGAUUUAUUUCCCAGGUGCUUGCAUCCGGAUAUAAGAAGGGCAUGGCUUCCUGAAGGUAGCACAGCAGCAAAUUCCUUGAAGGAAAUCAUUGAGAACCGGAGACAUACAAAUGACAACAAGAUGCUAAGCGAGACAUACUGUAACAAACAUCAAAAUUAGAGGCGUUUCAUUCACUCCUCAAUCAGAUUGCCCCAAAAUUACACAACUAUUGUUUCAAUUUGCAACUAUGCCGCCUAUGUUGACCGGCUUUUUGAUACUGUUCUGGAACAGAUUAAUUCGGUACGAAGCCAGCAGACAUGCCAGUACCACCACUGUUAUGCGGCAGUUUUGACCACCCCAACAAGGCAGACACACUCAAACAACACAAAAACAGGUUUCAUAUACAAUAGUGAACAAUUUAUUAACACCAUGCUCUUAUGCAAUAUGUAGUGUAUUUUUAAACAAUGGGAUAUUUGAACCCAACAUGACUAAGAUUAAAAGUGAUGAUAAGUGCCUAAAAAUGGUUACAAAAACAUGAAGAAAUAAUGACAAAAUGAUUAUUAUUUAGUUUCGUUAAAUAUUUCAAUCACUCUGAGUUUCUUUCCUAUUCUUCCUUCUAAAGUUAUUCUUAUUUUUUCAUAAUUUAACGGACUACUUAUAAGUUAUACAACAUUAUUAGGCUUAGCUUAUUUUCUACACUUUUUUUUAAUUACUUUUUAAGGCCUAUUUUGUAUAUUGUGUCUGUAUUUAACAUAUAUUUGGAUAUUUAAAUCAACAUAAGAUUCCGAUUGGAAAGCUUGUUAAAUUUUUUUAAUGGUGCAGGCUGCCAGUAUGGCAUGGUUGGCUCUACCCAUAUAUCCAUGUGUCCAUCUCAUGAAAUUUUUAUAACUUGCAUGUCUGUAUUUUCUAGAAAAUAUUAAAAAAAAUAAUAAUUUAAGUCUUUUUUUCUCAACAAUAAUAAUAACUAAAAUCUUGCAUAUAAAUGAAAUGUAUGAAAAGUAAAUACUAUGAAUAUGUAAAAAAACUAUGAUAUGUCUUCUAAUCCCAAAAGAUUUUGGGGGUGGAUUAAAACUGCCUACCGCAAUAAGGUCAAAGCUCCUAUGAUCAACAAUAAUGACAAAAAAAGUUAUUUUACCUAUAGAUAAGGCCAAUCUUUUUAAUCAAUAUUUCAGUUCUGUUUUUAAUAACGAACACGUUCACACAUAUCCCGAUUUUCCUGAUUACCCUAUCGACAACUUAACAUAUUUUAACAUUGACAUUAAAGAAAUUGAAAUAUUAUUACGCAAUAUUGAUACUAAGAAAUCCUCUGGCAUUAAUGAAAUUAAUAACAGUGUCCUUAAAGCUGCCUCCUUCCCCUUUCACAACCACUCUAUAAUAUUUUUAACCAGGCACUACAUGAAGGUUCUUUCCCACUAUGUUGGAAAAAGGCUAAUGUAUGUCCUGUUUAUAAGGGGGGUAGAAAAAAUAAAGUUUCAAAUUAUCGUCCCAUUUCACUUUUACCGACCAUAUCAAAAAUAUUUGAACGUCUAAUUCAUAAUUCCAUUUCAAACCACGUUUCACCUGUUCUUUCUAGGGCCCAACACGGUUUUACCCCCACCGUUCCUGUUCUACGAAUAUCACAACUCUUUUAAGUACAGCAUAUAAAGCCAUUGAAUGCCGCUCCCAGUGUGACGUAAUAUAUACCGAUUUUGCUAAAGCGUUCGAUAAGGUCAAUCACGAAUUACUUAUUUACAAACUUACAAUAUUUGGUAUAUCUGGUAAUUUGUUAUAAACUCCUUGUCAGUUAUCUUAGUGAGUGUGAGCAACGGGUAACUUUGGAAGGAGCUUUUUCCACCUGGCUCCCCGUUAAAUCUCUAGUUCCACAAGGAACCAUCUUAGGCCCUCUACUUUUUAACCUAUUCAUAAAUGAUCUCCUGUUAAAUCUAAGCUCACAAUGCUUAAUAUAUGCCGAUGACUUGAAGCUCAUUCGACAAAUCAACACUCUUGAAGAUUCCCAUCAGUUACAGAAAGAUCUUGAUGCUUUCUGUAAGUGGUGUGAAACUUGGGGUAUGGUUAUUAGUAAAAAAAAAAAAUGUAAAAUUUUAAACAUUAGCAUUAAAAAAACUAAUAUUAUAUUCCCAUAGAGUAUAAACAACCAUGCACUCGAUAAUGUUGAAUUUCACAAAGAUCUGGGUGUUGUUCUUGAUAAUAAUUGAAUUUUAAUCGCCAUAUCAAAUACAUUAGUAGUAAUGGUAAUAGAAUGUUGGGCCUCGUUAAACGGAAUUGCUGGAAAUUAAGGAAUCCUAAAACGUUGAUUUGUCUUUAUACGUCUUUGGUUAGGCCUCAAUUAGAAAAUUGUACAAUUAUGUUUAAUGGAUUAUGUAAAAGUCAAGCUCAAAAAUUAGAAAUUGUGCAACAGACAUUUUUGAAAUUUGUUUGUAAAUCGUGUAAUGUCAAUCGUAAUACUAUUAACUUACCCAGCUUAAGUCAACGUAGGAGUUACUUGGACUGUAUAUUUCUUUUUAAAUGCAUGAAGGGAUUAUUUGGUCCUCACCUUCUUUCUUUAUAUGGUUUUUCUGUUAAAAGUAAACAUUCUCAUCAAGCCUCGGUCAACUUAUUCCAUAUUCCAUUUUCCCGAACCAAUAUUUUUAAAAACGGAUUUAUUUGUAGAUUAUCUAAAAUUUUUAACUCACUUAUUCUGUUAGAUCCGACAAUUGAUAUGUUUUUUUAAUAGUUUGAAUAUUUUUAAGUAUAAAAUUAAGAAAUGUCUUGUAUAAGUGUUCAUGAUGUUUUCCGUACGGUGUUUAUUGUGUUUUAUGUAUUCCAUUCUGUAAGUGGCGGACUCCCCGCUGUCGAAUGUGAAUUAAAAUAAAAUAAAAUAAAGUAUAUUUCACACAUCUAGUGGCUCGGAAUUGUGUAUGAAUCCCAGGUUGACUAUCUGAUAUGGUACUGUCUUGUGCUAUAAAAAAAAUAAAAAAGUAACAAUUAUGACAGUCAAACUUUGUCUAUUGGCUUUGAAAUUAAAAUUGUUUGAAUGUAGUUAUUUUUUAAUAUCUGAAUGGAAAUAACGAACAUAUGUAUGGUAUUAAGAGUUUGAAUAAAUUCAUUUUCUUUCCCUUACUGCUUGCAACUUGCAAUGUCCAAACAUUUAGACAAAUGGGCUCUAAUCCUGGAUGGUCCGUAAUACAACCGAGGGCACCUGUCGCCGCCUCAUCUCUUUCAAAUGUUUCAUUAAUUGCAACAAUUUCUUUGCAACGCAGACGUUCUUCAUAAGAUUGCAUAUGUGUACAGUUGCCACAUUUACACCUAUAUAAAACAAAAUGCAAAUGCGAUUACUAUAUUAA
Molecule: long non-coding RNA, 3717 nt
Organism: Anneissia japonica
Lineage: Eukaryota; Metazoa; Echinodermata; Crinoidea; Comatulida; Comatulidae
Exons: 3
Source: RefSeq, a predicted model, not a curated record